CGACCGGCAAACGGGUGCGGAACACGUACACAACCUUCCUUUAAGUGGGGAAUAGCCCAGAGAAAUUUGGAUUAAUACCCCGUAACACAACGAAGUGGCAUCACUUUGUUGUUAUAGUUUCGGCGCUUAAUGAUGGGUGUGCGUAUGAUUAGAUAGUUGGCGAGGUAACGGCUCACCAAGUCUACGAUCAUUAGCUGAUGUGAGAGCAUGAUCAGCCACACGGGCACUGAGACACGGGCCCGACUCC
RNAcentral lists this ribosomal RNA (247 nucleotides) under uncultured bacterium. Its description in RNAcentral is "partial 16S ribosomal RNA". It matches the Rfam family "Bacterial small subunit ribosomal RNA", at positions 92 to 339 of the family's 1533-position model. The record is from RNAcentral.